AUUCAAAUAUCUGCCCUAUCACUUUCGAUGGUAGGAUAGAGGCUACCAUGUUUUGACGGGUAACGGGAAUAAGGGGUUCGAUUCCGGAGAGGGAGCUGAGAAACGGUUACCAAUCCAAGGAAGGCAGCAGGGCGCAAAAUUACCCAAUCCCGAUACGGGAAGGUAGUGACAAUAAAUAACAAUACAGGGCUUUCUAGUCUUGUAAUUGGAAUGAGUACAAUUUAAAUCCCUUAAGAGGAACAAUUGGAGGGCAAGUCUGGGUGCCAGCAAGCGGGGGUAAAUUCCAAGUUCCAAUAGCGGUAUAUUAAAGUUGGUUGCAGUUUAAAAAGCUCGUAGUUGAAUUUUAGGCCUGGUUUGGACAGGUCUGCCUUUGGUUUGUACUGUCCUGACUGGGUCUUACCUUCUGGUGAGCUGUCGUGUGUUUACUCAGUGCGGAGGAAACCAAGGAUUUUUACUUUGAAAAAAUUAGAGUGUUAAAAGCAGGCAUUCCGUUGAAUACAUUAGCAUGGAAUAAAUAGAAUAGGACUU
RNAcentral lists this ribosomal RNA (528 nucleotides) under uncultured fungus. RNAcentral's name for it is "bacterial SSU rRNA". It matches the Rfam family "Eukaryotic small subunit ribosomal RNA", at positions 297 to 830 of the family's 1831-position model. The record is from RNAcentral. Lineage: Eukaryota; Fungi.